ACUAUGUCUAUUAUACUUAUCACUGCAUCACAGAUAAUUCAAAAUUAGGUAAACAUAGAAAACAUAUAAAUACAUAUGAGAUACAUAUAAGAAUUGGCCAAACACAUUCUAGGUGAAAACAUAAAUUGGCAAUAAGGUCUUAAUGUCAAAUAAGAGUAUUUUUUUCACUGAGUAAUGGCUGCACAAAGUGAGACAUGUUUAGAUGUCGCCACUAGAGAGAGCCAGAGUGUGAGGUUCUAAACAAGGCCUCCUUGCUAGCAAGCCUGUGAACCAGGAAAUAGAAUUCUUUGCAAAUCCCUUUGUCUGCUUGUCUAUUUUGAUCAAAAUCCUUCAGUCUUGCAGAAAUAAUUUAGCUGAUGCCAGAGUCUAUUUAACACACCAAAAGGUGGAUCAUUACUGAUGCCCGGUUUUCAUGCUGGAAUCAAACUCUCAGUCCCUAUUUCCAGCCUCUUUAUAUCUGAGACAUCCUUCAAAUAGGCCUUGAGUAAGAUGGAUCGCUGGCUCAGACUCAAGUGUCACCUCCAUCCUGCAUAUCUGAGGGGAGGAUGGGGAAAGGAGAAGAAGAAGAUGAAGUUAACAAACUAGGGAGAGGAAAAUUCUUAGCUC
RNAcentral lists this long non-coding RNA (606 nucleotides) under Bos taurus (domestic cattle). RNAcentral's name for it is "long non-coding RNA NONBTAT002864". The record is from RNAcentral. Lineage: Eukaryota; Metazoa; Chordata; Mammalia; Artiodactyla; Bovidae.